Non-coding RNA from Meleagris gallopavo (turkey), 1339 nucleotides. NCBI's taxonomy places the organism in Eukaryota, Metazoa, Chordata, Aves, Galliformes, Phasianidae. The record is from RefSeq and is a predicted model, not a curated record.
GAUUCAGCAUGUCUUUACUCCUCCUCUGCUCCAUUUUGCUUUUUCCUAUGGCUGCUGUGGAUCUCUGAAUGUUAACACUACAUGGAAACACUACUUCCUGUGAUUUGUAUAGGCUAAUAGUGGUUCAGCACCAAAUGUUGGAUGUCUUCAUAAUAUGGAAACAAGUCCAGACUGAAAAACUACAGCAGAGAAGAGACCUUCUAUGACUAUCUGGUGUGGUGAUGUUUAGUAAGAUUUAAGGUACAGGUCCUCCUCUGCUGACUGGCUGGAUGGUACUGGGAGAGCAGCCACUGUGGUCCCCAAAGGCAAAAAAAUGAGCCAGCAAAGGGAAUUGAGAGGAGAAAGAAGCAUCAGCUCUUCUUCCCAGAAGGCCACUAAGGAAUUUGAUUUGUCACAGGAUGAAAAGGACUUUGUGGACUGCUGAAGUUAUUUUCCCUUCAGCCCCAAGUUGUGAUUUUCACCCUAUCCCUGUCUUCCUGUUUUCAACUUGUCUCCUACUCUGUCCUUGAACAACAAAGCAGAGCUCCUUGCCUCAGACCCACAGCAAAGAUGCAGUGCAGCUUGAAGAACAGGUUGGAGCUCAGUCCAAGGAGAGGUUUUUAUCUGCAUGAAAAAAUGUGGGUGCAUUUCCCACUCAUCUUGAUGCUAGUGUCUCUUUUUUAGGAUCUGUAGGAUCUAAUCUAUUGAUUCGAGUAAAUUUAUGCCUAUUAGUGAUUUGGGGGUUGUUGUUUUUUGUUGUUUUUUGUUGUUGUUGUUGUUUUAACUUUUUUAUCUUCCUCUGUGCUUCUUCAGCAUACUUUAUGAUGCUUAAGCCAUAACCAGUUUUUAAAUGGGCUAAUAAUCUAAGACAUAAUAUAGUCACAGGAAAAUGCUAUUAUUAUAAUUUCUUUUUUGACUGCCUCCAGAAUGGGACUUCUUCAGUCAUAUAUGCAUUUUAAGAUAUAUGCCAAAUCCUUAUUUUCCUUUUUCUCUUCCAAUUCUCAAAUGCAGUUUUCUGCUGAUGGUUUAAAUCUUUACUAUUUUACAUCUUACCUCCCUGUACCUCUUCUCUACAUACACUUGAUAUUAAAAUCUAUAUGCCAAGAAUACCACUCUCGUAAAAAUGUUGCAAUUAACUUUCAUUCUAAACUGCACUAGAAAAAGUAUAUGACAAGCCUAAACUGAUUUCACCUUAGGAAACUCCCCAAAAUCAACUGUUUUAUGGAAGGUGAGAUCUGUGUAUUCUACAGCUGUUUGUACCAAAGUGACUCCGUAUCAACUAACGUUCUAGUCCAGGACUUCUUAGAGCAGUUUUUGUAGCUAAAGCUCAACUUAAAUCACUCAGAGAGGAUGAUAAGAG